AUGGCGGAAGCAGGGGAAUGGCUGCCGUACGUCUCCACGCUGGCGUCCUGCCUCCUCGGCUUCGCGCUCUACUUCUACGCGCCCUACUGGGGAGUCCGGGGCGUGCCGGGCCCUCCGGCGCUGCCGGUCGUCGGCCACCUGCCGCUGCUCGCCCUCCACGGCCCCGACGUCUUCGGCGCCCUCGCCAGGAAAUACGGCCCCAUCUUCAGGUUCCAUCUCGGGAGGCAGCCUCUGGUGGUCGUGGCUGACCCGGAGCUGUGCAAGGAGGUCGGGGUGCGGCAGUUCAAGAGCGUCCCCAACCGGAGCCUGCCGUCGCCGAUCGCCGGCUCCGGUCUCCACCGGAAGGGCCUCUUCUUCACGAGGGACGAGAGGUGGUCGGCCAUGCGGAACACCAUCAUCUCGCUCUACCAGCCGUCGCACCUCGCCGGCCUCAUCCCCACCAUGCAGCGCUGCAUCGAGCGCGCCGCCGACACCAUACAGUUGAACGGCAACGCCGACGUCGACAUCGACUUCUCCGACCUCGCCCUCAAGCUGGCCACCGACGUCAUCGGCCAGGCGGCGUUCGGCGUCGACUUCGCGCUCUCGGCGCCGCGCGAGCAUGGCGGACGCGAGGCCGCAGAGUUCAUCGCCGAGCACGUUCACUCCACCACCUCGCUCAAGAUGGACCUGUCGGCGUCCCUCUCCAUCGUGCUGGGCCUCGUCGCGCCGGCGCUGCAGGGGCCGGCGCGGGGGCUUCUCCGGCGACUCCCCGGGACGGCGGACCGGAGGAUUGCGCGGACGAACGACCGGCUGCGGGCGAGGGUGGAGGGGAUCGUGGCGAGCAGGGAGCGCGACCUGGACAAGAGAAGAGGGCAGAGGGACUUCCUGUCGGCGCUGCUCAACGCCCGGGACAGCGGGGGCGACAAGAUGAGGGUGCUGCUGACGCCGGAGUACGUGGGCGCGCUCACCUACGAGCACCUCCUCGCCGGGUCGGCCACCACGUCCUUCACGCUAGCCUCCGCCGUGUACCUCGUCGCCGGCCACCCGGAGGUCGAGGCCAAGCUGCUGGCCGAGGUCGACCGGUCCGGCGCCGCACCGCCGACGGCCGACGAUCUCCAGCGAAACUUCCCCUACCUCGACCAGGUGAUAAAGGAGGCGACGCGGUUCUACACGGUGUCGCCGCUGAUCGCGAGGGAGACGUCGCGGCGGGUGGAGGUCGGGGGCCACGCGCUCCCGAAGGGCACGUGGCUGUGGCUGGCGCCGGGGGUGCUGGCGAGGGACGCGGCGCAGUUCCCGGAGCCCGGCGAGUUCCGGCCGGAGCGGUUCGAGGCCGGGUGCGAGGAGGAGCGGCGGCGGCACCCGUACGCGCACGUGCCGUUCGGGCUGGGCCCGCGGGCGUGCGUCGGGCAGCGGUUCGCGCUGCAGGAGGUGAAGCUGGCCAUGGUCCACCUGUACCGCCGCUACGUGUUCCGCCGGUCGCCGCGGAUGGAGUCGCCGCCGGAGUUCCACUUCGGGAUCGUGCUGGGCUUCAAGCACGGCGUCAAGCUCAGGGCCAUCGAGCGGCGCAGCCCCGCCUAG
RNAcentral lists this ribosomal RNA (1557 nucleotides) under Triticum aestivum (bread wheat). RNAcentral's name for it is "partial small subunit ribosomal RNA". The record is from RNAcentral. Lineage: Eukaryota; Viridiplantae; Streptophyta; Magnoliopsida; Poales; Poaceae.